Long non-coding RNA from Athene cunicularia (burrowing owl), 828 nucleotides. RefSeq lists it as uncharacterized. The transcript has 7 exons. The record is from RefSeq and is a predicted model, not a curated record. Lineage: Eukaryota; Metazoa; Chordata; Aves; Strigiformes; Strigidae.
AGUUUUGAGUAGUUUCCUGAGAAUGACUAGAAUUUGGAUGAAAGGGAACGAACCAGAUUCAAAAAGAUGUCUGAAAGCAAGUAGUUAACUAGCAUUUUCACCAGACUUAAGGGAGAAGGUCAGUACUAUGAAAGGGGUAAUUUAUCUUCUUCCACUGUUGUCUACUCCAUACAGACAAGAUUUUACCAUGACUGAUGUCAAAAGAUUCAGAGAUAUAAUUGCAUUGGAAUUGGAGUACUAGGAUAAUUAAGUUUUGCUCCUGGAUGUUUUGAGUGUCCUGUAACUUUUUUAAACACGUGUUUAGAACAGAUGACUUGGAAAUUUAGGAAACUAAAUUACCUUGGUGAAGCAGCUGAACUCGAUACAGAGGUGGGAGUGAUGUCAGGAGGCAGGUGUGCAAGCGCAUAGCCAACAAGUAUCGUAAGCCACAUUCAUCUAAGUUCAGUGCUUGUCGUGGCCACGGUGUCUGCCAAAGCUACGAGGAACAUCUGCUCCAGUCGAGUGAGGCCUGGCAGACUUGAGUGCAUCAGGUGGCUUGAAAGGACACUGGCGUGUUCUCGGCCAAACGUGAUCUUCAGAGCCCUGAGGUAUUUUAGACGUUUCUUCAGAAACAUAAGUGGCAUCUUGAUCCGCAGCAAGCAGCGCGUACAGCGGCAGUGGUGGAAUGGAGUCUAUCUCUGUAUAGUCUCGAGUACCAUCUUUUCCAGCUGUGAUGAUGAAUUGUCUGUUCCAAAACCCAUUCUGAUCCUCCUGUAGACUCACAUUCAAGUAUACAAACAUGCAUGGAAAAUUCUUUGGAAAUGAAACCAUUAUGCUGUACGGGUUGUU